Molecule: ribosomal RNA, 514 nt
Filed under: Oenanthe deserti deserti
Lineage: Eukaryota; Metazoa; Chordata; Aves; Passeriformes; Muscicapidae
Also listed under: 1 other name
Description: partial 16S ribosomal RNA
Rfam family: Bacterial large subunit ribosomal RNA
Source: RNAcentral
GUUUAACGGCCGCGGUAUCCUAACCGUGCAAAGGUAGCGCAAUCAAUUGUCCCAUAAAUCGAGACUAGUAUGAAUGGCUAAACGAGGUCUUAACUGUCUCUUGCAGGCAAUCGGUGAAAUUGAUCUCCCUGUGCAAAAGCAGGGAUAAACCCAUAAGACGAGAAGACCCUGUGGAACUUUAAAAACAGCAGCCACCCCAAACAACACAACCCCCCACCGGGCCCACUCACACACAAGCCACUGGCCUGCAUUUUUUCGGUUGGGGCGACCUUGGAGAAAAACAAAUCCUCCAAAAAUUAGACCACACCUCUAAACCAAGAGCAACCCCUCGACGUGCUAACAGCAACCAGACCCAAUAUAAUUGACCAAUGGACCAAGCUACCCCAGGGAUAACAGCGCAAUCUCCUUUAAGAGUCCAUAUCGACAAGGAGGUUUACGACCUCGAUGUUGGAUCAGGACAUCCUAGUGGUGCAGAAGCUACUAAGGGUUCGUUUGUUCAACGAUUAACAGUCCU